GUCGUUAUACAACGCGCAAGUGUGGUCUCUGUCACAGAUGUGGCUGUCGCAGAGAGUGCUGCCUCCUCUCCCGUUUCCAGCAGAUGCUUGGGAACCUUCAGAAGUCUUGGGGAUUUUCUCCCAGCACCGUAGCCAUGCCACCACGAGUGAACCCUUAACGUGGACCAGCACGGGCACCUCAGAUGCCAGGACCGGCGUGAUCCUGCAGGACGCUGGCAUCGGAUUCAUCCUGGUGAUAGACCGGCGACGGGACAAAUGGACCUCCGUGAAGGCGUCCGUCCUGCGCAUCGCAGCUUUCUAGAGGACCAUUUGCUAGGGGACCAGUCCCCAAACGGCCGCGCUUUUAGGAUUGGUUUUAGGAGUGAUGGCCUCACGCACACGGCAGCGGCCAUCCUGAGCACUUGUGUCUGAACAUCUGCAGGAACAGGGUCCACGCCCAUUGUUUUCCUCACCCGGUCCAGUGUCUCUGAUUCCGGCUCUAACGUCUUCUUCAUCUGUUAACACAGAGACACAAACAAACUUUCAAAUGCAUAUUUUUAUAUAAACUUGUGUUUACUGUUUGGCUACUGUCAGACAAAUGUAAUUGGUGAGGUUUCAGCUGCUCUGAAAUUAAAUAUAUAAUGUCAAGCUGGAUAGGUGUGGCUUGGAGCAGACCUUAAGGAAGGUGAUUUGAACUUGGGGAGGGUUUUUCAAACAGGGUUCCCCAAAGUACCCAGUUCUACAAAGUUCCCAGCAUGUCCUGUUGCUUUAGCUGCAUUGGUAAAUACAUGCAGUGAUUGUUUUGUGAGUCUCUAAGAAUAUUAACUCAGAAACCAGUGAACUCUUUUUCUAUCUCCAGACUACAGUGCUGUGGUCAUCACACAUAUGUGUUCCUAAGUUCAUCCAGGUCAGCCCA
This 895-nucleotide small RNA is filed under the name Pan troglodytes (chimpanzee). RNAcentral describes it as "processed transcript". Lineage: Eukaryota; Metazoa; Chordata; Mammalia; Primates; Hominidae. The record is from RNAcentral.